UGUGUUUGAGCGUGUGCAUGCGCGUGUAUGCGCUAAGAUUCUUCUGCCAGAAGACAGUGGCUUAAGCAACAUGACAGGUAGGCAUGUCUAUCGCGAAGCUAAUCAAGUGGCUGACCAUCCGGCGAACUCGGUGAGCUCGACUCGAAGAGAGUCCUGUUCAAUAUCUACUGCUCCUCCUUUCCUAGCUCAUCGGUUUCAAGCUGAUGCUGGUCUGGACUGUAGCUGCUGUCAUGGAGAUCUCUUGAAAAGCUUGUAGUUUCCAGGGCUCAGGAUCUUCAAUGGAGACCUCUAACUCUGCUCAAAUCGAUAGCCGAUAUUGAAAGGAAGAGAGAGCAUAUCUGAUUCGGGCGACGCAUGAAUCGCUGGCAAAACCUUGAGGGCAGUCUUCUGUAUUUUCCCCCUGAAUAGCUGCAGAAUACUUUGCAUUAUAUCUCUCCCAUACCAAAAGUACAAAGAAAGGUGAAAAGAACAUCCUGAGAGACCAAUGAACAGGUAAUUGUUAUCAUUUGGGUUGGCCGUGCCAGGGGCUCAACUCUGAAGAAACAGUUACACUUAACAUUUUGUGCUUUGGCAUCAGAGCGUUAUGGAUCGAUGACAUCGUUAACUGGUGGAAGGCAUGGUAAUUCACACAUUUGUUUACCAUUUCCAGAGAAAAAUAUUAAUAGCCUUCCUGUUCCUCGCAUUUUUCCUGAACUCUUUUUCCCUUUCUCAGUUUUCUGUAACCAGAAGUAUUGAACCAUGAGAGGUCAAUAGCUCGCAACACACUUUAUACGUGGUUUCCAUGAGAGAGUCCAGUCCUACAACAUGUUACUUUAAAACUAUAGAAACAUUUGCUGUCACAAAAGAAAGGAAAAGAGAACAUGUCUAGAUGGAUUAGAGAAGUGGAGAUUUCACAUCGGAAAGUUUUCGAGUAUUGUGAAAAAUAACUGCUAGCACAGAUUUUUCACGGUCAGGAACUAGUAUUUUCUUCAAUAAAAGAGAUGGUAAGUCAUGCAUCUCCAUACUAAAUUCCAUGCUACCUUAAAUAACAAUGAAUAUCAUUUACAGGCUCCGUCACAUGGAGGAUGCAUCUCUUGAUUUUGAUUCAGCUCAGUAUUUUGAGCUUCACCAGUGUCAGCUUCCUUCACACCAUCCAUCAAAGAAGUCGAGUUCUCACCCUUUUCCUGGCCAUUGCUGCUUCUGUCCGCCUCAGAAUCUCCAAGGGAACCCGUCCGUAGUAAUUCCUUCACCUUAUGGAAUUCAUCAUAGUGAGCCCGUCGGUGCUCCUUGAAACUUAAUCUUGCUCUAUCUGUUUCGGAAUCUGAGAAAAAAAAAUGGGAAACACAACUCAUUACAUGGUCGGUAUAGACUUUCGAUUCAGCAUAUUGUCCACUUGAUUUUAAAAUCAUAUAAUCAUUAGGCAUAUUGAAAGAAGUCAAUUAACAUCAACCUUCCAACUGGCCAAGUAAUGCCCUUAAAACCUAUAUAGGCCAUAUUAACAUCAACCUUUGAACUGGCCAAGAAAUGCCCUUAAAACCUAUAUAGGCCAUAUUAACAUCAACCUUUCAACUGGCCAACAAAUGCCCUUAAGCUAAAUAGGCCACCAUUAGUUUUCCUUCUAAUCAGUAAGUGGCACAAUGGAAAAGUAAGAGAGGGAAGAAAAUCUCAAACUAAAGGAAACACGAGAGACUUGCAGGACUCAUCCCUCAUUAUUAAAAACUAUUUUCUACAGUCCUCUACAUCUCAUCAACAGGAUAUAAAGAUGGCAUGUAAAAGUAAAACAUUACUAUGAUGCCGAUGGUAGUCUAAAUCAACUACGAGUGUCAUGUUAGCAUGUAGCAGGAAAGAUAUGAUCGACGCACAUCUCUACUAUGAACUCAAGAAACAACAUUUUCUAAGUAAAUGCGAUAUGGCAGAAUUUUUAAAAAGUCUGUUGUAGAACACAAAAACUCGAUAUUAAGUACCUAGUACAUAUUAAGUUUAAAAUUUCUUAGUUUAUUCAACAUCGAGAGCUUGAUGAGGGCUUUGCAGGCUCUUCAUAUGCUAGGCAAUAGUAAUAGAACUUUUGCUUUAGCAAAGAAAAGAAAAGAUGGAUUAUUCAUACUCACAUGCACAGUAGUUGUCUUGAGUCAGUAACGAAUAAAUGUGGUAGAUGGCUUCAUAAAAUUGAUCGGUUUUCAGUCAAAAUGGACCGAUUUCAGCACUUAAGGACUAAACAUAUGUGAACAUGUAAGUGAUCAGCAAUUUAUGAUGGGUGGUCUGGACUGUUAGCCCUGCUUAAGAGCCAUCCUAGCCAGUUCUUGCCCAGAUAUUUAAGCCAUGACACGUGGCCUAGAUAAUAAGCCAUGCAGUUCUUGCCUAUUUGUUUGGCUUUCUCCCUCUCACCCCAUUUCUCUAGUUCCCAUACACGUGGCCUAGAUAUUUAAGCCAUGCAGUUCUUGCCUGUUUGUUUGGCUUCUCCCUCUCACCCCAUUUCUCUAGUUUCCAUAGAUCUUCCUUUGUUUUGCAUUUAUUCUUUUUUUUUAUUGUUUCAUUUGAUCCUUUCCCUCCAUUCUUUGUAACUGCAAAUCUUGAUGGCUUAACCGAUCAAGAGUUCUAGAGAUCAAGGCUGCAAAUGGCUACCUUUUGUACGAGCCUUGGGACUUGAUCAAGUGUCAUAUGUGCAACAUGUCAAAUUCUCCCAUUCCAAACUAAAAGAACCUAGUAACAAUAAUGAAAACCAUCAAUCUUAAAGACUUAGAGUGGUAGCAUCAUGGUUGGCAGAACCGUCCAAAAUUGUCCGGUUCGGGGCGUACCAAGCUGUACCGGCGGCGAACUGGAACAAUUCCGGCAACCAAAACAAGAAGCUGACAAUGGAGGGGGAGAAGGAGAAGGAAAGAGAGAAAAAGAGAGCAAGGGAGGAAGGGAGAGGGAGAGGGAGAGGAAGGAAAAGAGAGAGAGGUAGAGGCCGGCUGGCAAAGGGCCGGAGAGCUGUGUGGAGAAGGCGGAGGAACAAGGAUCCCGGAGGAGGCCCCUUUUUAUUUUUGCGAUUUUUAAGUAAAGUCGUCAAACCCUUUGCCGACUUCACUUAAUUUUUUUUAUUUCGGCAAAGGGUUUGCCGACUUUACUUAAAAACCCCAAAAAUAAAAGGGCCCCUCCGGAACUCCUGUUUCGAAUGAAACAGAGGAACCAAAGGCAAAGCCCCUCCUCCGCUUCCUUCGCAUGACUCGCCAACCCUCCAUCGGCCUCUGCCACCCUCCCUCUCUCUCCCUCCCUCUCUCUUUUUCUCUCUCCCAUUCUCCUUCUCCUCUGCCCCUUCUAUUGUGUCGGUACAGGCCAGACACAGAACGACAUGGGGUCGUAUUGACCCGUGCCGCCAAGCAACCAGUCCGGACCUUAGUUCCGGCACAGCAGUCCUUGGGUAGCACACUAAAACAAAUCAAAUUGCCAUCAGAAAUACAGUGUCAAAAAUAAAGAAAACAGUGCCUUCCAACUUAGCUCGUUUCUUUUGUAAUGACUGAUUCUAUAGGCUGCAACUUUAUAUAUGCAGGUUAGGGUGGGUUUCCACUCCUAGAUUAACCAAUCAAGAAAGAAAGAAAGAAAGAAAAUAAAGAAAACACCCAAAACAAAAAGAACCAAACCCGAACAAAAAAAGCCUCAAACCAGCAAUAAACAAGCCUAAACUUUAAUCUCUGCCACGUCUCUAACCAAAUUCUUCAUGACCUCCAUAUUCUGUUAAAAAUUCUCUUCACACUUACCAUAUUAACUUAUGCCUUUCAGAAUAUUAAUGACACCCUGCAUUUAGAACCUUUUCAAUUGUAUCCCCUAAAUAGAUCUACAAGGCAUUCAAGACAGUUUCUGCACAAGUUGCCAUCUUUGAAAGAAUUUCCACCUCUGAGCAAGAUACUGUUACCUAUGAUUGCUUCUUUAAGUAAACAUUAUAAACAUAACUAAAUAUUCUAAGAUCGUUUAAUGAUCACAAUAGACUUUUGAAUGUACUAGCCAUAGAAAAACUUGGAUUGCAAAAGGAUUGACUUUGUGUGGGUUUCAGGAUCAUGCAUCAGCAAAAAAUCACAUAAAGACAUCAAGUAAUAAUUAUGGCACUAAAUCCUGUCAUCCAUCAAGAUUUCUAGGUCUAAAUUCAGCUCCAAAAGCCUAACCAAAACUGCAAAGAUCUCUCCCAUUACUUUUUUUUCAACAAAAAACUUUUAACUCUAGGUAACCAAGCUAAAGAUAAAUGUCUGGCUGAAGAUCAGGUGAAAAGAUCCUUACCUUGCUCCAGCUAACCAAAAUGUCGGUCCCAGCUCCAGUUUUUUAUCAACCUUUUCAGGACUAACUUCUGCUCCAAAGACUUAACCCAAAAGCACUAAUAUUCUCCCAUUACCUCUUCUUCAGCAUGUCUUUUGAACGUAAAUAGCCAGGUGAAAAUGCCACAUCCAAAACAAGGUAAUUGCAAAUGUUACUCCCUGUCCAUAGGUAAUGCAUUAAUGCAAGAAAACAGCUUCUUCAAAGGCAAAGCUCUGCUCUGCAAUCAUUUUAGAAGCUCAUGCUGCUGAUCGCUCUAUCUUCUUGCACCUAAAGGACACUAUUCCUUAACAAUUCCACCAUACAAUGAAUUUUCUCUCUUCGGCUAAAGUACUCAUUUAUAACUUUAUUUUCCCAGCAUCACCACAUUUUCAACCCUAUGCUCUUAAUUUGUGCCAACACCCUCUUUAUUGCUCAACAAUCUGUUUGUGAUAACAUCAUAAACCUUGUACGCAUAAAGAAAACAAGUAAUUUAUGUACUAGACCAGGUGAGGACAAAUACAACUGCUUAUGAUGUCAUUUUUGCUCCAGACAGAGCAUUCACUUGAACAGUGCAUGUUUCAUGGUGAAAAAACAAAAGCAGCACCUAAACCAAAACCUAGUCAUACUGAGUAUCCAACAUAUGAAAAAUCCAUUCACAUAUUCAGCAAGACAGAAGUACUAACAGCAAGAUAGAAAUGGGAAAAGAGAGGCACCAACAGCUAAGUAGAAAGAUUAAAAAGCCAUAAGAAGCAGCUAACAACCUUCGUCUUGUUCCAUGGCAUCUGCUUCAUCUUCAGAAGAUGUCCAACCCCCAUGCCGUCUGCUUGAAGAAGCUACAUCAUUCAAGGCAGUAAGAAUUGCUUCUGUGCGAGCAGAUUCAUCCAAGCAUUCAUCAAAAGCACGUCUUGGUGACACAGAACCUACAAAAUCAAGCAUCCGAUUGUAGCUGUUAGUUAAAAAGAGUCAUGAUAAUACAGGCUAAAGUAGAUAGGACAGAUGGAAUGAAAGUUGCACAGACAAACCAUCCUCAUCAACAAUCAUAGGGUGAUAUGGUGUCUUAGGCUCAGUGAUUUUCUGCCUUACUGGUUUAUUUGCUUCAAUCUCAUUCAAGUUUGCCUCGUUCCAUCGCACACGACCCCUAGUUAAGAAUAAGCAUGAACAGGAUUCACUGGCUAGUAACUUCCCAAAAUGAGUGUAACAUUAUAACAUAGGGAUAAGGUCUGCAAUAUAUCUAAAGAUAGAUCGCACACGACCCCUAGUUAAGAAUAAGCAUGAACAGGAUUCACUGGUUAGUAACUUGCCAAAAUGAGUGCAGCAUUAAAAAAUAGUGAUCAGGUCUGCAAUAUAUCUAAAGAUAGCAAACUUGUGCAAAUUGCAGAUUAUGGUUCCAGUCAACUAAACAUAUUCCAGAAUUCUACAAUGAAGAAAUAGCAAAUGUCAAUCAAGUAUGACUGUAAUGGAAAAAGGAAAUACUGGCAGUUUAAUUACAUCGUCCUAUAGCUAGGGGUGGAAAUUUAUGAUCCGACCCGUCAAACCAACUUGUAAAUGACCUACUUUAAGAAUGUUUGGAUUUGAUAUAAAUAGGUUUGGGUCAUAAAUGGGUCAACCCAUCUAGACCUGUUUAUUAAACAGGGUCAGAUUCAGAUUUAGAGCUUUGAUCUAUUUAACAUGUUUUGACAAGUUUAAUAAUUAGGUCGGAUCUUGACCUGACCUAUUUAACCCGUUUAACCUAACUCAAUCUGUUUAGCAAACAGGUUAUGCGGAUCAGAUCGGGUUACCUGUUUAGUAAAAAAAAGUCGGAUUUAGAUUUGAAGUUUUGACCUGUUUAAUGGACAAAUCGGAUUUGAUUGACAGAUUUUUGACCCAACCCGCAUCCAACCCUAUCCAUAUCUAACCUGACCUGAUCCGAUUGCCAUCCCUACUUGUAGCAUAUAUUUUUUAUUUUGCUAGCUUAGAACAAAUUAGUACAUGUCGUACUAUAUUAAAAGAAAUUAGAGCAUACAAACUGAAAAAGGUCAAUCAGCAUAAUAAACAUUCUAAAAUAGAAACUCAUAUCCUCAAUUAUUUCAAUGUUUCACCAAUAUACAUUCUUUUUCCUUAAGAGCUACUAUAUUACGACAAAAAUGUAGUUUACGGUCCAUUUAUUGGUUUGUUGGUAUGAGUCCAGUUCUGCUUAGGUAUUAGUAUCAGAUUCAGAUACUACAAAGAGGUGUACAUGUUUAUUCACAUUUUUAGGUCAAAUUUAUUAAAAUGCAUGCAGCCAUAUUUCUUGACAAUUAUCAUAGUAGAAUUCAAGAGAAGAAUGAUAUAAAACUAGAAAAUGUUAACAUGGAUUAGAGUAAAGCAUGACAUAGAUGACCCGCAGGAUAAUACAACAGAGCAUACUUUUUCUUCUUUCUCCUAUGCCGCAUUAAUAUUAUAAAAUUUCAGUUCUUGAGUUAUUCUUUUUCCCUUGCUUUUUCCUCAUCUUCCACAUUUCCUCCUUAAUUUUUCCAUUUUCCAUAAGUAUUCAUUAUCUUUUUCUCCCCCCUUUCUUUCUUUGUUUCUCCCAAUUUAAAUAAAGCUGCUCUCUCCCUGCUUCUCUUUCUUAUUUCUUUCUUUGAUGUCACCUAUUCCAAUUUUUUUCUGUUUUUUCUUUGAGAGGAAAUUUCUUCUGUUUUAACUCCCUUUUUUUUCUCAUCUCCUUCUUACUUCUUUUUUUUUAGUUUCUUUUUCAAUUUUCUUUUCUUGUUGCUCAAAACAUGAUUAUGUUUGUUUAGUAUAACUAUUUAAAGGGUUCAAAUGGUUUUAAUGACGUCAAAUAUGAUGAGAUAUUGUGAAGAUAUAUUGUUGUAGAUUGCAUUGAACUUUAAAGUAUGGCAGCAAUUUUCAUGCUUAGCUGUCUUUCAUCUCCAGAGAACUGUCUAGGCCAUUUUAAGGAUCCAUCCCCUAGCUUAGCUAUAUGAUUCCACAACCAUGUUUUGAGAUAUUGUAAUAAGAAAUUUACAAUUCUUUCUUAUAAAACCAUGAGGCCUGAUUAAAAGACUUUAAGUAACACUACAAGCAUUAUUGCUGAUAUAGACGUCAUAGGUAUGCAAGACCAGUAAUCAAUAAAUUUUGAUUCAGAUAAGGCAGUCAACUUUAGAUAGAUUGUUUAUAUAGAUUAUGCACAUUUCAUAUUCUAGAGCUAACCAGGGGGUAGUAGAUAAUUCUAUACUCCAGGUGAUGAUCCUUUAAUCACUUAUCCAUGGGUUAGAAAAGUUGGCGUGUAGUUGCUGCUUGCUGAACCUAACGUUAUUGUCAGGAUGGAAAAAAACGUGUUGUUUUGUUGGAUAGAUAGGGGUUAAGUGAUUAAGGCCCUUUGCCUUGUCUAAUGAAAAGGUAAAGUACCUCUCCUCUCAUAUAUAAACAACUCAUGGGAUCAUCCAACCAUGCAAGACAACUAAUUUUCAUUGCAACUAUAUUGACUGACAUAAAAAGAAGCUGGCUCCGACCUCUACACCUGGUUCAAGUGAUCAUACUCUCCUCAUUACUGCCAAUCAAGAUCCCAGGGAUGAUCAAUCAUUCAUAGAUCCCAUAUAGAGGGGGAAGAUAAGCAAGUGAUUUUGACAAAAAAAAAAAAAAUUUUGAAAGACCUAUCCGUCAGACCUUCGAGAUGGGACGACAGUUAGCCUGGAUCGAGGGUCCGACAGGUGGCCUGGGUUGCUGCAAGCAUUAGGGCUAGAACCAAGGGUGGACAAUGUCCAUAACGCUGUCAUGAGUGUGAUUCAAGGUGUUGGAAGUGGCAGAAAAGGAGACCAGAUCUGAGGCUCCUCAAGGGUAGAUGGUCAAUGGCGAGGUAGAGGUCGUCAAUCCAGUAUGGAGCCAUUCAGCUUCAUAAGAGAGGAAGAGAGGGCAACUCCAGCUCAAGUGUGGGCCAACAAAAAAGGGGAUGCUCAAUUGGUGACAAACCCCAGCGAAGAUUGCACGAGGGUCAGGAUCAACCAGGGAAGGGAUAUGGAGCAGCCGAUGUCAAGCCACAAUCCACCACCAUAGAGAGGAGCGCACAGUAAACCAGUGGACUGGGAGUAUCAAAAGGGUGGGGGAGGAAUAGUUUAGGUAGUAAAAUGAGGGUGGGGAUAAUAACGAGGUGGUUAAACAAAUUUCAUUUGGAGUGAUGAAAUAAGUUUAACUAGGUUAAGCACCUUUUUGGUGCAUUGACAAGCUAGAAAUAAGCCCCUAUUUUUUGUGAGGGUUUGGCUAGUUAAGUGGUUAUCACUUAACAAACAACCAAAGAUUUUAUUUGGUUUCUAGUUAAGUGGGGGUCAGUGGAUGGUUAUUCACUUAACCAGCCAAACAUCAUCCAAAUCUGGGGUGCAAGUUUGCCUGGUCAAUGCACAAAACUCUCUUCUCUCUCUUAUUUUUCUUUACUUUUCCCCAUAACCUAACCAACUAACCCUCAAACUUCAAGUAGAUAGACAAUAUUACUAGCUCAAGGAUAUGUGGUAGAAGGGUUGGUUAUGUACAGUUAAAAAUAUCUAUCCUCCAGUUAGUUAUCUAGCAUCCAAACGUCAUCUUAGUGGACAAAAUUAUGUAAUUGUGUUGAUUAGUUUCACGACUUGACGAGAUUUUGCAUUAUCAUGCUACCAGAGAUACUAAAUUGCUAGCCCAAGACAACUCCACAGCUUUGGGGAACUACCACAAGAGAUUUAGCAUUUAUUCGGCAAAGUUCUUAAAUUCCAUGUUUACUCAAGGGUUUAAGGAAUGGUUUGAUCCAGACUAUCCCAUCUCAGUGCGGCCCGCCACUUGGGAUGGCUUGCUAGCCCACUCAUUUACUGCAACAACAAUAUUUUUAAUUAUUUUUGUUUUUAUUUUUCCCAUAUUUCCUGUUUCUAAUGGUUGUUUACAGGUCUUCUAUUGCUUUAUUUAAACUCAUCACCUUUUUGUUCAUGGGACGAUUGAUAGGUAGUGUUUCAUUUAAAUUUUUUAUUUUUUUCAAUCCCACUAGGGUUGAUACUGAUACUGCACCACAAACCCAAUCAUAGGCUCCACACUAAAUUUUGACGUACAACUUCUGGAAACUCCUA
RNAcentral lists this long non-coding RNA (9290 nucleotides) under Phoenix dactylifera (date palm). Its description in RNAcentral is "long non-coding RNA (PDAC_LNC002060)". Lineage: Eukaryota; Viridiplantae; Streptophyta; Magnoliopsida; Arecales; Arecaceae. The record is from RNAcentral.